RNAcentral lists this ribosomal RNA (253 nucleotides) under uncultured bacterium. RNAcentral describes it as "partial 16S ribosomal RNA". It matches the Rfam family "Bacterial small subunit ribosomal RNA", at positions 524 to 776 of the family's 1533-position model. The record is from RNAcentral.
UACGUAGGGUGCGAGCGUUGUCCGGAAUUAUUGGGCGUAAAGAGCUCGUAGGCGGUUUGUCGCGUCGUCCGUGAAAUCUCCACGCUUAACGUGGAGCGUGCGGUCGAUACGGGCAGACUUGAGUUCGGUAGGGGAGACUGGAAUUCCUGGUGUAGCGGUGAAAUGCGCAGAUAUCAGGAGGAACACCGGUGGCGAAGGCGGGUCUCUGGGCCGAUACUGACGCUGAGGAGCGAAAGCGUGGGGAGCGAACAGG